UGGUGAGGAGCCCGGACUCGGUUCUGUGCAUGUCCUCCGACGGGCUGUCAGGUGGAGAGAACGGAGGCGCACGGACUGACGGAGGGGAUGGAGGGAGGGAUGGAGGAGAGCGAGCGCGCAGGCGCACUGCGGACGAGAGGAUAUAGACUUUACGUCCCGUCAGCGCAUUUGGACGCACGAUGUUGGCAUCGUGAAAUCCUCCUGACAUCAUGCUCCCACCGUGCACAGGCCUCUGUCACGACCAGACACCGAGCUGAAUUGCGCAUGCGUGUUACCGGCGGAACCCCCUCGAUCCGGUAGCCCCAAUUAAAAACGACGAAGAUGCGGAAAAAGAGUUGAGGGAUGCGCCUCAGCUGCCGGACGACCGCGGGGAAGCACAGCUGCGGACACCGGACUCCUCUUCUCCCUCUCAUGCUGCUGUUGUCGCCCGCGGAGCCUCCAGAGGGGCAGCCCUGACUCCUGGAGCUGUCCGAGGUAGGAGUCUCUCCGCCCCGGGGGGCGUCCUUCACUUCAGCGGGGCUGCCGCCCGCGUCUCCUCCUCCUGCUGUCCGCCGACACCCGGAAGUGCAGCAGUCAGUGUGUCACAGAGUCACUGAGCUUUAUCAACCACGGUCUGUGGUCAGUGUAUUUGCUGAUACGAAGAGCGAGUCAACAUGGCGUCAAAGCAACUCAGUCGCAAGGAGCGAAGGAAACUGUACACGUCACUGGCCGGCGAGCUGGUGAUCAUGGCCGGGACCGUCAUGCUGGCCUACUACUUCGAGUACACCGACACCUUCAGCGUGCACGUGCAGGGCUUCUUCUGCUACGACACCGCCUACACCAAGCCGUACCUGGGACCGGAGGAGAGCAGCGCCGUCCCGCCCGUGCUGCUCUACGCCGUGGUGGCCGGGCUGCCCACGCUGCUGAUCACGAUCACAGAGACUGUGCUGUUCCUGGUCCAGUACACAUCCAAAGAGUUCGACCGCUCGGAGAGGACGGUGGCCACGGGGGACUGCUGUUACCUCAACCCGCUGGUGCGCAGGACCUUCCGCUUCCUCGGAGUCUACACCUUUGGCCUCUUCACCGUCGACAUCUUCGUCAACGCGGGCCAGGUGGUGACGGGAAACCUCGCCCCCUACUUCCUGACGGUGUGUAAGCCCAACUACACGGCGCUGGGCUGCCAGCAGGCCCUGCGCUACAUCAGCCACCAGGAGGCGUGCACGGGGAACCAGGACGACAUCCUGCGCGCCCGCAAGACCUUCCCGUCCAAGGAGGCGGCGCUCAGCGUCUACGCCGCGCUCUACCUGGCCAUGUACGUGACCUGCACGGUGCAGGCGAAGGGAACCCGGCUGGCCAAGCCGGUGCUGUCCCUCGGCCUCACGUGUCUGGCCUUCCUCACCGGCCUGAACCGCGUGGCCGAGUACCGCAACCACUGGUCGGACGUGAUCGCCGGCUUCAUCAUCGGCACGGCCAUCGCCGCUUUCCUGGUGGUGUGUGUGGUCCAUAACUUCAAAGGCAAGCUGCUGCUGAGCGAGGAGGAGUCGUCGCCCCCCGCGGAGCAGCGGCCCAACGCGGCCAUGCUGAACAUGGGCCGGAUGGAGAGUCCGCUGGAGAAGUACAUCGCCUCGCAGGAGACGGAUGACGAAGACGAAGGGUCCUUCCACAUUAAGGAGCGUCUCUCGGCCUUCCUGCGCUGGCUGCGGGGGCUCGACUGGUUCCGGCGUCUGCGGAACAAAAGGCAACAGAGCGACCGGCCAAAUGUCUCUGGACACGACUCUGCUGUUUGAUUCUUUUCCUGACGGGGGGAAACGUACGGGCUGAUAUUGUGCUGUGACGGUCUGGACCAGGCAGUCGUUGUGUUUUUUUUGUUAGACGUAUGUGAAAGCGGCUGUUAUUGUUUGCUUAUGCAUUAAACCAGUGCGGUAUGGGUUUGAACAGUGGGCUCCUGAAGGCAUCUUUGUCUCCGACACAUGCCGUCCUCCAGACGGACUUAUGGUGAUGUUGUCUCACGAACGUUGGAACGCAAACACGCCGGAUUAAAUGCCACAUGGCUGAUGAUGUUACUCAACAAGUGUGUGUGUGUGUGUGUGUGUGUGUGUGUGUGUGUGUGUGUGUGUGUGUGUGUGUGUGUUUGCGUUUGAAAGCUUGAAUCCAGGAGAAAUUAGUGUUCAAAGUUUCCCAGACCCAGGGCUGAAACCGAAUCGUGGUCCCGAUUUUUUGAAAGUUUGAAAUUUUCAAAAUGAUGCCAGGCAUGAAUUAGUGAACAACAACAACAUCAGCAGGAAGAACAUUGGCGGCUCUACCAAUGGACGAAUACGCGUCUCUGAGGUGAUAUCAUCCACAAACAGCCACGUGUGAGAUCAGCGUAGGAAGAUUACAGAUAAAUUCCUGUCAUUUUGGACAAAUUCAGUGUGUGUGUGUGUGUGUGUGUGAGGGUGUGUGUGGACAUAAUGGACUGUCAUUAAAGUUGCGUACUGGCUCUCAGUGACCGACAGAGACCUUUAAUAGCAACAACAGCACAAUAUCAGUCGGCGGGCUCAUCCAAACAUGUAUUUCUUGACAUUUAAGAGCGAUUCCGCUGUAUUACAACGCGGCUCUUAUUUUUUUUCGCGUUCCUCGCUUUAGUCGUCCGCACAAACAGAACUGGUCACCUGGCUGCUGGCGUCGCCCUGUCGGACCAUGUUUCCAGAUCACAGUGAAUCAUAGCCGAUAUAUAAACGAUGACCAUAUCUACAGAAAUGAGAGCCAAGGUGUAAUAAAGUGGUUUUCCUUCAUCACCAAACCGGCUUGUGUCCGAGAUCCAUUUGGCCGAGACGAAACCCUGUCCAGAGUAUUUGGCGCGUUUGGGUUGAAGUGCUCCUUCUGCUUGUCUCUUUGCAUCUGAGUGAAAUCCCUUGUCCGUUUCAGCUUCCGAUUCUCUUUUCAAACAACCCAGCGGCGCGCUUCUAUUUACUCGAGCCCGCUGUGUUCUCGUUUCCCUGCUUCCUCCAGCGAGAUGCGCUUUUAAGCAGUGAGAUGAGCGGGGGGAAAAAAUCAAAUAAAUAAAUGCACAGCUCUCCCGCAGCUGAUGAUUCAAUUCGCAGCCUCCCCGCCGAAAGAGCCUGCGCUCGGUUUGUCUGACAAAGAGCAGAAGAAGCUCACACUCUCACCUCGGUGACGACGGCCUCGGUGGAAAAUUUGCCCGCUCUAAAAAUAGCCCGGCCUGAAGACGCCCGGAAGCCAAACAAGCCACAGUGAACAAAGUGCGGCGGCAGGAAAGGAACCUCUGAAAUAAUAAAAAAAAAAGAAGAUGAAUCCUGUGUUAUUUUGUUUUUGCUGAUAUUUUUCCUUCUCCAGCGGAGAGGAACGAUACGUCUCUACCACAUGCUGGGCGACGCCAUACUCAUAUGUUCAUCACGAGCUGAGAAUAAAAUUGAUGCGUGAAAUGAGAUAAUGAUUGAAUAUAUUUUGAUGGGAAAAAAUGAAUUCUGCUUUGUAGGAAAUUGGACAGAUUACUCGUUGCCUUAUUAUUUCUAGUAUUAUUUCUUGCUUUUUUUUUUAGAUACACAACAUGAGAAAACCACCACAUACGGGCGACAUGUCCUCCAAUAUAAAUGCUAAUAUUUCUCCUUUACUCAAAUGAAAAAGUAAAAAAAAAAAAAGAUCCAUAUCACACUAUUUGAUUUGUAUGUCUGACUGGCAUAUGUUGCACAGUUCAUGAACUCCGGCAUGCUGUGCUUUAUCGUCUGUUUUACUCUAAAUUGGCCCGUCAUUUCCAAAAAUGAACAUCACGCUGUGUUGAAGAAGACUUGACACGAGAGAUUGAGACGUAGAGUCAUUUCCCAUCGACUCUGAAUUCUUUUUGCAACCGGCGGAGUCGCCCUCUGCUGGUCACUCGAGAGAAGACAGGCUUUCGGGCACUUCCACAUUGGCUUCACUUACGUCCAUUUUUUAUAUAUAUAUAUACAUAUAUAUAUAUACAUAUAUAUGUAUACAUAUCCUACUUUUCCUGCUUCAAUUCUCAUCUCAGAUGAUUCUUUUAUCUGGAGUCUUCCCUCAUCCAUACAGACUCUUGGAGAAACAUCAUGAGAUGGUUUUGACUUCCAAGAUCUCCAGGAGCAGUUAUUGGAAUUAUCGGGGAUGAGGGAUUUGUCCAAAUCACAUCGCCUUCGCUGAGGUCACAUGACGUGGAGUCCGCUGUGUGGCAGACCCACUGGACGUCCACUCUCUUCACUGUCCAAUCCAGUUAAACGGAGCGCAGCGCUGAAGCCCCCAUUCUCUGUGUGUGUGUGUGUGUGUGUGUGUGUGUGUGUGUCUGCUCUGCGGCAUGUUGUUCUACGUUGUCUUUACCGGGUCCCUGUUGUCAUUUGCAGCUUCUUGUAUUUAAGGGAAAGGAAGAAGGAGAAUUUAAAAAGAAGAGUCCGCAGCAGGACAGGCCGCUUCUGCGUUCUCCAUCUAUGCACUUGCUCUGAAUCCUUGGCGAAGCCCCGGGACUUGUUGCACACUGUGGGACACUGGAUGAACAAGCGGGGGGCUGAAGUCACGCUCUACUCUGCCUAUGUCGAACACGUUCUCAUUGGUUUGCUUCUACUGUGUGUGGAAGAUGUGGAGGGUGAGACGGCCGUGAGUCAAACUGUCUGCUCAGAAAGACCAGAGAGAGAAAAACACGAUUUCCUCCUUUCGACUUUUGUUUUUGCCGUGAUGACAUCACUUUCACCGUCCCCCUCGAUCACUAAAAGAUGGCAGACGUUGGUUUACUGGUGAAAAUAGUGGGAAAUUCUUAUUUUUUUCUGUUGAUGGGGACCAAAACCAGACAUCAAACAAAAAUGAAUAUUGGACGUACACUCAUCAGGUGGAUUCAGACAAAACUCCAAAUGAAUACUAAUGCUGCUUUGUGUUUGCUGAAUGUGAAAGUAGUUAAACCAUCAAAAGUUUAGCCUUCCAAAGCCAGUGACAGGAAGUGUCUUUUCGGUUGUUUUGAUUUGUUGUUGGUGGAUUUCUUGCCCCCUAGUGGCCAAACAUGGAUAAUUGCAGCUUUAGCUGAUUAUUUAUUGUCUUUUGAUUAAGUUUAUUUAUUAUUAAUAUAUGAAUAAUAUAGUAGUUACUAUACUUAAAAGUUGAUUACACAUUUUGUAUAUUUGCAUUGCACCCUAACGUGUAUUUUUUCUUCAUAGCAAUAAGUGGACAGGCUUUCUUUUCCCGUCAGGAGAGAGAGGAGAAGAACGCAGUGAAGGUCAAAAUCUGUUGCCCCCCCCCCCCCCCCUUCAAAUCUCUAUUUUUGUAAUAAUCACAGAAGCACUUAUGAACAAGGACUCCGGGCAGGAACAUGCAAAAAAAAAAGGCAGCACUUUGAAUCAAAGCUGUAAACAACUCUCGCCAGCCAAUGUCUGUGGCUGCUUGAAAAAAAAAACAUCACAAAGAAUAUUCAGGAAAUUCUCAAAUAAAAAAUAUAUAUUGUUGGCUCUAAUGUGCAUCGCAGCAGCUGAUCCCGGCUUAUUUAAAGGUAAAGAGAAAUGUAAAAAUAUAUAUGUUGAAAUUAUUAAAAAAAUAUACAGUAUAUCUAUCUAUAUCUAUACACACACGCAUGCACGCACACACAAAUAUACACACAUACACACGUGUGUGUAUAUGUGUGUGUGUGUAUAUAUAUUCUACAUUGUCUAUUUUCGUAUGACUGUGCACUGUGGGAGUCUUCACAAUAUCUUUUAGCUGUUAUUGCUUCUUCAUGUUACUUUACUGAAAUCAGAUUUCAUGUUGCUCUUCAACAUUUUUCUACUGUGUUUUGUGACAAGUGACAUUCACGUUUGUUAUCGAUAUGUCUCCUUACGCCGCCGCGUAGUCCACAUUUUUUCCCGAAAUGACUUUGUCCCGGGACAUGCGUCGCAAAUGCUUCUCAACUGGUGGGUUUCAUCUCUUUUUCCCCCCGACACUGUCAUGUGAUAUGUCGUGAUUUAUUAUAUGUAUAUAUGUUUUGCUUCUGGUGGAUCAUUUCGUAUGGAUGUUGUUUCUCUCGUUCUAUCCCGGUUCUCUUUUUUUUUUAUAUUAUGCAUAUUUCUCCUCUUCUUUUCAACUUGAGUUCAAACUGUGACCUUUUACACUGUAAAAAUGAGAAAUUUACAGCCUUUGAAUAAUAAAAAAAAACAGUGAAAGGACUUGAA
Molecule: RNA transcript, 6116 nt
Organism: Scophthalmus maximus (turbot)
Lineage: Eukaryota; Metazoa; Chordata; Actinopteri; Pleuronectiformes; Scophthalmidae
Gene: plppr5b
Gene name: phospholipid phosphatase related 5b
Exons: 11
Source: RefSeq, a predicted model, not a curated record